Molecule: ribosomal RNA, 510 nt
Filed under: uncultured bacterium
Lineage: Bacteria
Description: partial 16S ribosomal RNA
Rfam family: Bacterial small subunit ribosomal RNA
Source: RNAcentral
GACGAACGCUGGCGGCGUGCUUAACACAUGCAAGUCGAACGAAGAGCGAUGGAAGCUUGCUUCUAUCAAUCUUAGUGGCGCACGGGUGAGUAACGCGUAAUCAACCUGCCCUUCAGAGGGGGACAACAGUUGGAAACGACUUCUAAUACCGCAUACGAUCUAAUCUCGGCAUCGAGGAUAGAUGAAAGGUGGCCUCUACAUGUAAGCUAUCACUGAAGGAGGGGAUUGCGUCUGAUUAGCUAGUUGGAGGGGUAACGGCCCACCAAGGCGAUGAUCAGUAGCCGGUCUGAGAGGAUGAACGGCCACAUUGGGACUGAGACACGGCCCAGACUCCUACGGGAGGCAGCAGUGGGGAAUCUUCCGCAAUGGACGAAAGUCUGACGGAGCAACGCCGCGUGAGUGAGGACGGCCUUCGGGUUGUAAAGCUCUGUUAAUCGGGACGAAAGGCCUUCUUGCGAAUAGUGAGAAGGAUUGACGGUACCGGAAUAGAAAGCCACGGCUAACUACGUG